Molecule: ribosomal RNA, 429 nt
Filed under: Chloroflexota bacterium
Lineage: Bacteria; Bacillati; Chloroflexota
Description: Chloroflexi bacterium partial 16S ribosomal RNA
Rfam family: Bacterial small subunit ribosomal RNA
Source: RNAcentral
UGGGGAAUAUUGCACAAUGGGCGCAAGCCUGAUGCAGCCAUGCCGCGUGUGUGAAGAAGGCCUUCGGGUUGUAAAGCACUUUCAGCGGGGAGGAAGGCGUUAAAGUUAAUACCUUUGCUCAUUGACGUUACCCGCAGAAGAAGCACCGGCUAACUCCGUGCCAGCAGCCGCGGUAAUACGGAGGGUGCAAGCGUUAAUCGGAAUUACUGGGCGUAAAGCGCACGCAGGCGGUUUGUUAAGUCAGAUGUGAAAUCCCCGGGCUCAACCUGGGAACUGCAUCUGAUACUGGCAAGCUUGAGUCUGGUAGAGGGGGGUAGAAAUCCAGGUGUAGCGGUGAAAUGCGUAGAGAUCUGGAGGAAUACCGGUGGCGAAGGCGGCCCCCUGGACGAAGACUGACGCUCAGGUGCGAAAGCGUGGGGAGCAAACAGG